GGUUCCAUAGAAUAGUGGUUAGCACGUCUGCUUUAAACGCAGAAGGUCCUGGGUUCGCAUCCCAGUGGAGCCA
Non-coding RNA from Pteropus alecto (black flying fox), 73 nucleotides. NCBI's taxonomy places the organism in Eukaryota, Metazoa, Chordata, Mammalia, Chiroptera, Pteropodidae. The record is from Rfam.